RNAcentral lists this ribosomal RNA (294 nucleotides) under uncultured bacterium. RNAcentral's name for it is "partial 16S ribosomal RNA". It matches the Rfam family "Bacterial small subunit ribosomal RNA", at positions 505 to 796 of the family's 1533-position model. The record is from RNAcentral.
GUGUCAGCAGCCGCGGUAAUACGUAGGAGGCGAGCGUUGUCCGGAAUUACUGGGCGUAAAGCGCGCGUAGGCGGUAGGGUACGACCGGUGUGAAAGCCCCCGGCUCAACUGGGGAGGGUCACGGGUAACGGCUCUACUUCUGAGUGCAGGAGAGGGAAGUGGAACUCCGGGAGUAGCGGUGAAAUGCGUAGAUACCCGGAGGAACACCAGUGGCGAAGGCGGCUUCCUGGCCUGUGACUGACGCUGAGGCGCGAAAGCUAGGGGAGCAAACGGGAUUAGAUACCCCAGUAGUCC